UUGAAUAUAAGUAAUUAAAAGAUCACUUUCAACAACGGAUCUCUUGGUUCUCGCAUCGAUGAAGAACGUAGCGAAGUGCGAUAAGUAGUGUGAAUUGCAGAAUUCCGUGGAUCAUCGAAUUUUUGAACGCAAAUUGCACUCUCUGGUAUUCCGGAGAG
This 158-nucleotide ribosomal RNA is filed under the name Glomus macrocarpum. RNAcentral describes it as "5.8S ribosomal RNA". The stretch from base 24 to 158 matches the Rfam family "5.8S ribosomal RNA", at positions 1 to 135 of the family's 154-position model. Rfam says of the family: 5.8S ribosomal RNA (5.8S rRNA) is a component of the large subunit of the eukaryotic ribosome. It is transcribed by RNA polymerase I as part of the 45S precursor that also contains 18S and 28S rRNA. Functionally, it is thought that 5.8S rRNA may be involved in ribosome translocation. The record is from RNAcentral. Lineage: Eukaryota; Fungi; Glomeromycota; Glomeromycetes; Glomerales; Glomeraceae.